GACGAACGCUGGCGGCGUGCCUAAUACAUGCAAGUAGGACGCACAGUUUAUACCGUAGCUUGCUACACCAUAGACUGUGAGUUGCGAACGGGUGAGUAACGCGUAGGUAACCUGCCUAUUAGAGGGGGAUAACUAUUGGAAACGAUAGCUAAUACCGCAUAACAGUAUGUAACACAUGUUAGAUGCUUGAAAGAUGCAAUUGCAUCGCUAGUAGAUGGACCUGCGUUGUAUUAGCUAGUAGGUAGGGUAAUGGCCUACCUAGGCGACGAUACAUAGCCGACCUGAGAGGGUGAUCGGCCACACUGGGACUGAGACACGGCCCAGACUCCUACGGGAGGCAGCAGUGAGGAAUAUUGGUCAAUGGGCGGAAGCCUGAACCAGCCAAGUAGCGUGCAGGAUGACGGCCCUACGGGUUGUAAACUGCUUUUAUGCGGGGAUAAAGUGAGGGACGCGUCCCUUUUUGCAGGUACCGCAUGAAUAAGGACCGGCUAAUUCCGUGCCAGCAGCCGCGGUAAUACGGAAGGUCCGGGCGUUAUCCGGAUUUAUUGGGUUUAAAGGGAGCGUAGGCCGGGGAUUAAGUGUGUUGUGAAAUGUAGGCGCCCAACGUCUGACUUGCAGCGCAUACUGGUUCCCUUGAGUACGCGCAACGCCGGCGGAAUUCGUCGUGUAGCGGUGAAAUGCUUAGAUAUGACGAAGAACCCCGAUUGCGAAGGCAGCCGGCGGGAGCGCAACUGACGCUGAAGCUCGAAGGUGCGGGUAUCGAACAGG
RNAcentral lists this ribosomal RNA (768 nucleotides) under uncultured Streptococcus sp. RNAcentral describes it as "bacterial SSU rRNA". It matches the Rfam family "Bacterial small subunit ribosomal RNA", at positions 28 to 776 of the family's 1533-position model. The record is from RNAcentral. Lineage: Bacteria; Bacillati; Bacillota; Bacilli; Lactobacillales; Streptococcaceae.